GUCUCAGAGAUUAAGCCAUGCAUGUGGAUCGUGUGGGUGCUAUGGUUUGGAACCUGCGAAUGGCUCAUUAUAUCAGUAAUAGUUUAUUUGGUGAAGUGUACUACUUGGAUAACCGUAGUAAUUCUAGGGCUAAUACAUGAGAAAGUCCUCUGGUGAGGUGUGUUUAUUAGAAUGAAAACCAUAUGCUUCGGCAGUAUAGUGAGUAAUAGUAACCUAUCGUAUCGCAUGCUUAAAGUAGCGAUGAGUCUUUCAAGUUUCUGCCCUAUCAGCUUUCGAUGGUAGUAUAUGGGCCUACCAUG
RNAcentral lists this ribosomal RNA (299 nucleotides) under Blastocystis sp. RNAcentral's name for it is "partial small subunit ribosomal RNA". It matches the Rfam family "Eukaryotic small subunit ribosomal RNA", at positions 34 to 348 of the family's 1831-position model. The record is from RNAcentral. Lineage: Eukaryota; Bigyra; Opalinata; Blastocystidae.